GAUGAAGAAUGUAGCGAAAUGCGAUAAGUAGUGUGAAUUGCAGAAUUCAGUGAAUCAUCGAAUCUUUGAACGCACAUUGCGCCCUUUGGUAUUCCAAAGGGCAUGCCUGUUCGAGCGUCAUUUGUACCCUCAAGCUUUGCUUGGUGUUGGGCGUCUUGUCUCUAGCUUUGCUGGAGACUCGCCUUAAAGUAAUUGGCAGCCGGCCUACUGGUUUCGGAGCGCAGCACAAGUCGCACUCACUAUCAGCAAAGGUCUAGCAUCCAUUAAGCCUUUUUUUCAACUUUUGACCUCGGAUCAGGUAGGGAUACCCGCUGAACUUAAGCAUAUCAAUAAGCGGAGGA
RNAcentral lists this unclassified non-coding RNA (341 nucleotides) under soil metagenome. RNAcentral describes it as "partial contains 5.8S ribosomal RNA, internal transcribed spacer 2, and large subunit ribosomal RNA". The stretch from base 1 to 120 matches the Rfam family "5.8S ribosomal RNA", at positions 35 to 154 of the family's 154-position model. The record is from RNAcentral.